CUUGCAUCAACUCCCAGUUCCGAGAGGACGUUGGUGACUGGGUGGAGGGGAGGGCCGCCAGUGUCCCUGUCCGCGACGCUGCACAAGUGGAGGGAAUACCGGCAGCAGUGUCUGAGGCUCCUGUGGGAGACGCCUUCACCGGCCGCAGGAGUCACCGUUUGCAACCGAACGUUUGACGACUACGCCUGUUGGCCAGAUGGAGUCCCGGGGACCUUUGUCAAUGUUACCUGCCCCUGGUAUCUGCCCUGGGCAAGCAGGGUCUCCCACGGACAGGUUUACCGCUUCUGCACUCUCGAGGGCACGUGGCUGCAGGAGAAGAACGCCACCCUGACCUGGAGGAACCUGACUGAGUGUGAGGACGCCGAAAAGGGUCCCCCCGAGGAGCAGUUUCUGUUUCUCUCCAUCAUCUACACGGUGGGCUACGCCCUCUCCUUCUCCGCCCUGAUCGUCGCCACUGCCAUCCUCCUCCAGUUUAGACACCUGCACUGCACCCGGAACUAUAUCCACCUGAAUCUCUUCACCUCCUUCAUCCUCCGGGCCCUGUCUGUCUUCAUCAAGGACACCGUGCUCAAGUGGAUGUACAACACAGCUACCCAGCAGCACCAGUGGGAGGGCUUCCUUGCCUACCAGGAAUCUCUGGGCUGCCGCUUGGUCUUCCUGAUGAUGCAGUACUGUGUGGCCGCCAACUACUACUGGCUCCUGGUGGAAGGGGUGUACCUGUACACGCUGCUUGUGCUCUCCGUCUUUUCCGAGCAAAGGAUCUUCCGGAUUUAUCUGUGCAUUGGCUGGGGUGUGCCCAUGAUGUUUGUCAUUCCUUGGGGAAUAGUCAAGUACCUCUAUGAAGAUGAAGGCUGCUGGACCAGGAACACAAACAUGAACUACUGGCUGAUCGUCCGGCUCCCCAUCCUCAUCUCCAUAGGGGUGAACUUCCUCAUUUUCAUCCGCGUCAUCUGCAUCAUCAUUUCCAAGCUGCAGGCAAACCUGAUGUGUAAAGCUGAUACCAAAUGCAGACUGGCCAAAUCCACCCUGACCCUCAUCCCACUGCUGGGGACGCAUGAGGUCAUCUUCGCCUUCGUGGUGGAUGAGCACGCCCGGGGGACCCUGCGCUACGUCAAGCUGUUUGCUGAACUCUCCAUCACCUCCUUCCAGGGGCUGAUGGUUGCCAUCCUCUACUGCUUCAUCAACAACGAGGUCCAGGCUGAAUUUCGGAAGAGCUGGGCGCGCUGGAGGCUGGAGCGUUCGUCCAUCGAGAGGGACAGCAGCAUGAAACCCACCCAGUGUCCAGCCGGCAGCCUAAGCAGCGCAGGUAGCGUCUACGCGGCCACUUGCCAGGCCUCCUGCAGCUAAGACUGCCCAUCAUCCCUCUCGCCGGGUCGGAGGAAAAGCAAUUUAACCGGAUUAUCUCACUGGGAGGGGUAAAUUAUCACCUGCUUUGCAGAGGAGGAGUUGGAUUUUCUGCCCGUAAAGGCACAAGGCCUCCAGGUGUCCACAGACAGACCAGCAAAUCAACACAGGUGGCAAACGCGAGGUCAAUGGCUUAUUAGUUGGGUGGGAGGGGAGAAGUCCCGGCUCGGGGAGUCAUUGAUGAAAACUGCCCCGGGGGGUGCAGACGAUAUCUUUGUUCUAACUCUUCCAGGCCACUGGCGUUUGCCCACUUACAAGAGACCUUAAACGGCCUCAUUUUUUUCCAACCCCAGCCAUCGCAGUGCAUUUCCGGGCCCACCUCCUUGGCUGGCAUCCUAUCAUUAUUAUUAAUCGUAUUUAUUGAGCACUUACUGUGUGCAAAGCACUGUAUUAAGUGCUUGGGAGAGUACACUAUGACAUCAAAAACAUUCCCUACCCCCCCCAACGAGCUCACAGUCUAGAGGGGAAGAUAGACAUUAAUAGAAAUAGAUAAAUACUAAAAGGGGGAUCCCUCUCUGAGGCUGGGGAGAUGGUAGAGGCCAAUUACCAGUUACCAAUUCUGGACCAAAAGCACUGGUUGAUGUUGGCGUGAAGGUCACUUUUCUUGCUCUGUAGAUUCCACGCUCUGCCUGCGAACCAUCCUCAGUUUCUAGCAGG
Molecule: long non-coding RNA, 2061 nt
Filed under: Ornithorhynchus anatinus (platypus)
Lineage: Eukaryota; Metazoa; Chordata; Mammalia; Monotremata; Ornithorhynchidae
Description: lncRNA (ENSOANG00000013162.4)
Source: RNAcentral